Heterocephalus glaber (naked mole-rat) is the source of this 9615-nucleotide long non-coding RNA. NCBI's taxonomy places the organism in Eukaryota, Metazoa, Chordata, Mammalia, Rodentia, Bathyergidae. The record is from Ensembl.
UUUGCGACCAGAAUUGUGGAAAGAAUCAAGUUCAUGAGCCGGGGAUUUAGCUCAGUGGUGCCACCGCCUGCCUUGAAAGCACAAGGUCCCAAGUUCAAUCCCCAGUACAAAAAAAAAAAAUCAAGUUCAUGAACCAAGGUACCACUGCAAAAGUAUCUUAAAUGCUACAUAUAUUUCAAAUGAGAAUGAUUUCCAGGAAGUUUUAUCAUUAUAUUAUCUUCUUACCAAAAACAAUAUUUGUUUAUAGAUGGAGCAUAAGGUUGACCUAAAGGUGAAAGGCAGUGCUUUCCGUUCAGAUGCCCAUCUGUUGUUCCACUGGACAACAUACAUCAUAAACCGGCACAACUAGCUAUCAAGAAACCCAGGUCUUUUGUUCCUGGGCAUCUAAAGCCUUCUCAGCACAGGCCUAUGAACAUUUCCUUCUUUCGUCAUCACCAUUUAUAGCAUUCUUCGAAGUUAGCCAGUUCAAGUAACAACACAAGAAAUUACAAUGCAUUUGCCCAUGCUGCUUUAUUGCUCAAAAUAUGUCUAUAUACAACAGGUGCAGAGUUUCCAACUCUUACAAUAGCUCCUUUUUACAUCAAAGAAUAAUAUUUCUUCAAAACUUCCAAAGAUGCAUAGAUUAAACAGCAAGCUGCCUUUUGUAAUACUUCAAACAUACCCACUUUUAAAAUGUUAUAUCCUAAUUAUGUAAUGCAGGAUAUGUAGAACAGCAAGUAAACACAAUAAGCAACUCCUGUACUUAACAGUAAAUAAACUAUUAUGAAAGGUACUCUAACAUUCUUAAAUCUUUUCAAUUAUAGGAGAUGAGUGGUUUUCCUUUUUUUUUUUUUUAAGACAGGGUCUUGCUGUGUAGUUCAGGCUGGUCUUCAACUAUGUAGCCCAGGCUGGCCUUGAACUCAGCAAUCUUCCUGCCUAAGCCUCUUGAAUGUUGGGGUUACAGGCAUGCACUACCACACCCAGUGAGAUGAGUGGUUUUAAACUUAGUGCCAACACUAGUAUAGCUGUUUAAAGAUUUAUGAAGACAUAUUGCUAGAAUACAUUUUUUUACCCCCUGGAUGGGAAAAAUAUAUAUAUUUUUUUGCUAGGCUAUGGAUCGGACCUGGGCCCUCAAGUAUGCCACACUCCCAAAUCAAAAAAUAUUUUGAUGAUAUGGCAUAUUGUCAUAACCAAGGGACAUAAAACAUUUUAAAAAUAGUCACCAUAACUAUUCUCACUUUAAAGGAGUUUAAAAGCCUGAACUCCGAGAGAAAUUUCCCAAGUUUGGUUUUCCAGUACUAUCUAUUUUAAUAUGCCUUAGAGUAAUAGGAACAAAGUUUAAAGAAAUUCUUUUUUGUUUUUUUUUUGGAACCUGGGAUUGAACUCGGGUCCUUGGCGCUUGCACAGCAGGCGGCGAAAGCACUAAGCUAAAUCCCCAGCCCAGUUUAGAGAAAUUCUGACCUUAUAUAUUUGGUAGGCCUGGUAGCAGUAAGUGGCAAGGGACAAUUAUAUAUGAGAUAUAUCUCUUGGGCCGGGGAUUUAGCUCAGUGGUUCUGGCGCCUGCCUCGCAAGCGCAAGGUCCCGAGUUUGAUCCCUGGUACCAAAAAAAAAAAAAGAAAAUUAGAUAUAUCUCACUUCUUGCAUCUGAGUGAAAACCAAAUAUCAAAAGGACAAAUCUUACUCAACACUGAAGCACUGAAGUAACAAUUCAUUCUGUAUGGUAUGUGUAGUGAAGUCCCACAAAGUAUAUAAAGUUAAAAUAAUUUUGAAAAAAUAAUUUUCAAUUAUAGAACAUGAAAACUGGAAGGAGCCUAAUGAAAAUCAUGUAGUCUUACCCUGAAUUUUCUUCUAUUCAGGCUUCUUUCAGAAAUCAUGAAUUCAAUUCAUACAUUACUGUCAUAAUUACUCGCUUUUACCUGGUUUUUUGCUUUUUGCAGUACUAAGUAUUGAACCCAGGUGUUGUGUGUGCUUGGCAAGUGCUCUAAAAAAGCUACAUGUCCAGGCCUUUGAAAAAUUUGUUUUUGGGUACUGGGGAUCAAACUCGGGACCUUGCACUUUCGAGGCAGGCAGCAGAACCACUGAGCUAAAUCCCUGGCCCUGAAAAAUUUGUUUUUGAGAGUGUCUUGCUAAAUUGCCCAGACUGGCCUGGAGCCUGGAACCUGCCUGCCUCACGCUGGGAUGAUAGGUGUGUGCCACCACACCCUGCUCUUAUCUUUUAAAAUGGGAAAAACUUUUUGUUCACCUGGGAUCAAAACCUUUAGGAAAGAAAUUGUACAGUCUGACCAAACCAUCAAGAAUAAAACUGGCUAUUAAAAAUGAAGCUUAACAUAACAGAAUAGAGAAACAAUACAUAUAUAUUAGUACUCUCAACUCUUCCUAUAAAAUGGAGUCUCUCUUGCUGCUACGGUCCUUUCUGGUUGAUCAAUACUAGUACCAUCAGAACAGUUAGUUACCUAGUAACUUAAAAUCCUAAAACAUCUGAAAUAUGUGCACAUUAACCCUAUCCACUUCCAAGACACUGGCUUGUUUUUUUCUGACAGGGUCUUGCUAUGUUGCCCAGGCUUGGCCUCUAUAUCAGAGGCUCAAGCACUCCUCUUGCCCCAGCCUCUGUGGGAGUAGCUGCAGCUAUAGGUGUGUGCCAUCAUACUGGGCUCAAAAUACUAGUUUUAAGACUUCAAACUUAAUCCACAUAAACCUUAUCAGACAAACCCUAUAUCUAGGUAUUUUACAUACUGUACACUGGUAUUUCAUUCUUUCCCACUCUUUCUGAAACUCUGCACCUUUUUGAUUAUUGUAGCCAUAGCAGCUUAUUUAUUUAUUCAACAUGCAUACUGUCUUUUGUUUUCAAACAUGCUUGGGGACUAAAGCAACUAAGAAAGAGAUUAAAGGGUGAGCACUCUUAUGCCCAUUUAUUCCUUAGUUUGAAUGUCUUGUGAUUGCCCGUUUAUUUACUUCCCAUUUGCAAAGGAAGAUAAUCUUUAAUUAGAAAAUGAAAAAUAAUAAAUUCAAGCUAUUAGUUUAUAUUGCUUCAUUAAUAAAUGCAUAUAUAAAAUUACUAGUAACUAACACUAGAAAUUUGCAAUCAUGCAAUAGAAUAUUAGUAUACUAUCAUCAAAUUUAUGUGACCCGCCACUAUUGCUUGAACUUUCAACUGGACCCAGUCUUAAUAAACAUGCAGAGUAAAUCCCGUGAUUCAGAGGAAUUAUGGAAAAUAGUAACACAUGCAAACUUUCAACUGGAAGUUUGAGUUAAUAACUGCUUAGAAAUGCAGGCAGGUAGGGGCCGGGGAUUUAGCUCAGUGGUUUCGCCACCUGCUGUGCAAGUGCAAGGACCUGAGUUCGAUCCCCGGUACCAGAAAAAAAAAAAAGAAAUGCAGGCAGGUGCUUUACAUCUAUCACAAUGCUGUUUAAGAACAGAGGCACAAGUCACACAAAAAGGUUAAAAGUAGGACCACUGUUCAAUAAUAAAAGGGUCAUAUUCAAAUCCUGGCCCUUUUAGGUAAAUAAUGAUGUAAAAAACUUGGGUAAAGAAAGAAUUGAAAGAGGCAAAGGAACAAUUGUGGAAUAGUAAGUUUUCUGGGCCAUUUAUUGACAGCUAUCUAAGAGCAUGGGUGGCAGGGGGAUGGUGAAGACGUUCUUAGGCAGAAUGGUUGCUUCUCUAACUCACACUAAUAAGCAGCCCCUGCACAGCUCCCUGGGGAAAGGAGUUGAUGGGCAGAGCUAGUACAAUGUAAACUCAAGCAUCCAUGCCCUGAAGUUUAGCAUAACCUUCUGCUUUAAAACCAUUGGCUGGGGCCGUGGAUUUAGCUCAGUGGUUCCAGCGCCUGCCUUGCAAGCACAAGGUCCUGAGUUCGAUCCCCAGUACCAAAAAAUAAAUAAAUAAAAAUAAAACCAUUGGCUAAGGGAUCCUUCCAAAAUGAUAUAAUUAACAGCCAGGCAAUGUUAUGAAUAAACUAGAAGCAACUUGCUGGCACCAACAGCACCAUGAGAAUGUAAACUUGAGGCCAAGGGUCUCUUCAUAGUUUGCAUAUCACAAGUACAUAAACAAGAGACCACAAGAACUUUGAAAAGUAACCACGUAUGUUCACACUACAGACCCUUGUAGCAUAGUUUAGUAUUUUAGAACUAUUAAUAUGCUUUUUAAGAGUAAUCUUUAAUUGUCUGAAGUAACUGAACAUCACUGUAAUAAGUAGCCAUGUCUUCGUGAUCAUGCAAAUGUCUGAAUAUUGCUUGGUUGUUCUGUGUCUAACACUAACACAAAAGGACAUUAAAGAGCCAUAAUCAACUUAAUGUAGCCUUUUCCUUGUCCAUUGAAGCUGCCAUAUAUAAUAAUAACUAAAUAUUCAAGAGAUUCAUAGAUCUGUAGCACUUUAGUUUCUUUUCCUCCCUGGAAAAACAAAGGAACAAAUGCAAUCUUUUCAAGGGAUCUUCAAAGUGCUAAAUGGCCAAGAUGGACAUGAGGUGAAAAGGAAUAAAUUGGCCAGUUCCACUAUUAUAUUCUCAGGCUGUGUGAUUCCUCAGGUCAAGUAAAAAGUCUGCCAAGUUCUUAUCAAAAGAAGCAGUCACAGGCCAUAGGCUUCAUUGUAUCUAUAUUAGACAAGGUUUUUAAGGUUUUUUUAAAAAAACUAAACAGUAUAGUCUGGCUGUUUCCCUCAAUCCUUUAGCUUCUUAUCCUUCCUUAUUUCUUUUGAGACAGUGUCUUACUUUGUAGCCCAGACUGCCCUAGAACUUGUGGCAGUCCUCUUGCCUCAACCUCCCAAGUGCUAGGACUAUAGGCAUGCACCACCAUGCCCAGCAACAGUUUCUUACCUUUAAAACCUAACUUCUUUCAUCAUAACCAGGAGGAAAAGCCAGCUAUCCAAAUUCUUGGGAUUUUUUAAAAUCCUAAUUAAAACAACAUUCUUGGGGCCAGGGAUUUAUUUAGCUCAGUGGUUCCAGCGCCUGCCGAGCAAGCACAAGGUCCCAAAUUUGAUCCCCGGUACCAAAAAAAAAAAAAAAAAUUCUUCCUUUUUAAAAAUGUAUCCAGCAAGCCAAAAGAGAUAGGUAACAAAGCAGAAAAGAUCCCAUUCUAUACAGUAAAAGCCUGCUGCCAACCAGAACAACUUAAGCAAAACCUCCACGUGUUGGCUUCUGAGGCUGUAGGAGUACAUUUGUUUCUAGACUAAGCACUAGAAAGACUUCAACAGCUCUAAACCUUUGCUUUGGAAAAUAAAUAGUUUUUAAACUUUAAAAUAUACAAAAGUUGGUAUUUCUUACACAGGUAUAUUCAUAUACAUUUGUACUGUUUUAAAAGAAUGUACCUUUUAUAUGCUCUUUACCUACAUUUUUUUCCUUCCCCACCAACUCAAGUAGUAAUCACUUAUCCUACUGUACAAGUUUGCAAAUACAAUUCACUAUACAUGCAAAAUUGUUAUUGCUACUAAAAUUCUAUCUCUUUAAAUUAUUAGUUCAUUUUAUGGCUUUUUUUUUUUGCAACAGGAAAUAUCCUUUCCUAUAUACUUUGCAUUCAUUACUUUCAGAGUUUUUAAAAAUGCUUUUCAGAAAUGGAUUCUCCCAGGCACUAGCUACUUGAGGCAAGAAUAAAACUAUUGUAAGCAUACUAUGAGAACCUAAACCUGGGUCCCUAGAGAUCUGCUACCAGAAUCUACUUGUUUGCUUGUCCAUGACACACCACAUGAAAAUAGUUUACAUUUUCUAUCAUAUUGAUGUAGAAUGUGUCAAUUUUGGGCUCUCAAUACUGAGAUCUAAGAAGCAACUGCCACUUCCAAGUUCUCAAGGCAGCUUUUAGAGGUAGAAUUCCUUUUUACAGAAAAACAUCUUUUGUUUCAGAACAAAACAACUGUUUUACUUCUGUAAAGUAGAAAAAAGUGAAAACUGUGAGAAACUUACUAUAACCAAGGCAAAGAAGCAACUUAUAACAUGGCAACUGAGGAAGGCUUCAUUUAGCUACAUUUCCAAUUCUCAUAAAAGGUCUGGAAUCCCAUCAAUACACAACUGAGCAGAUUUGGAAAUAUCUAGGAUUCUUCAAACUACUGACAAUGUUGUUCCAUUAAACCAUGUACUGUAGACAGGAAAUGUCAAUGGCCUAGAGAUUAGAUAAGCACUUACCGAAGUAAUUAACAACAGCAUCUCAGUAAGACAUGCAAAAUGUAAAGUAAUUUCUGGAUGCAAAAGGAGCAGGAAAAAUGAACCCAAGUAAUACAAGGUAAAGAUUUAUAAGAACAACGUCACCUCAAACCAAGACAGCAAUGUAGAAUUAUGAAAUAACUCAUUUUAAUGUGAGGCUUCAUAAGACACAAAAGCAGCUAUCUAGCUUAUAUAUCCUCAAAGUUGUAGAUUGUGAACUAAACUUUCUGGGUUUUUUGGCCUUAAUGUCCUUUCCCUAGGAAGAAUAUCAGAUUCAAAUAUUUAUGAAAAAAGGAAAUCUAGAUUUUCCACUCAUUUUACACUAUUGGUUAUUAUCAAUAAUUCAUCCUGAAUAUUGAAAUUAUUUCUAGGCUCAUGCACUAACCCCUAACAUGGCACUACAAUAUGCUACCAAGCACUAAUGCUUACAAAACUAUACACAUCUCAAAAUGGAAGACAUUGGUGAUUUUGUUGUUCUUAAACAACUUGUAACAAUUGUCCACAAGUAUUAAAAUAUACAUAUAUAUAUAUAUUUCUAUUGCACAUAUCCCAUUUUUGUUUAAAAUUUCCAAAGGAAAAACUCCCAGAUAACAUAAAUGAGCAAAUAAAGGAGGCACAGUUACAGAUUGAGGCAUAGUUCUAAAAUUAUAGUUUUUGUUAUUAAUAUGGUGACCAAAAUAGACCAGAAAAAAAUGCAAAAUAAGUAAAUACAGGGCAACUACAACUGGAAUGUACCCAUAUGGUCAAAUGCCACCUGGUGUCCACCCUGGAAGAUGUGGGAACAAUGUCACUGAAAGACAGCACUGCACACUGGUUCCCUGAACUGUAGGCUGAAAAAUAUAAAGCAUUUGCAGGUGGAUCUGAUAGCUGUUCAAAUGAGGUCAAAUCUGGUUUCCGUAGCAUUUAUAUUCCCUGCCCAGUGACACUGACUCAAAGUUACCAAAAGGUCACAGAGAUGAUAAAUAACAGAAAAUUGGAAGGUCCAACCUCUCCAUGAUACAUUCUCAACAUAUCAGUGGGACCCAUGUAUGGAGUUCCCUUUUUUGAUCUCCCAGUAGCGGGGAUCAAACCCAGGCCCUGCACAUGCUAGGCACAUCCUCUUAUCACUGAGCUAUAUACCUGAUCCCCAGUCCCCCCUCACCUUUUUUUUCGGUACCAGGGAUCAAACUCAGGACCUUGUGCUUGCAAGGAAGGCGUGGUGCCACUGAGGUAAAUCCCCAGCCCUCUAGUCCCCUUUUCUAAAUUUUAUUUUGAGACACAGUUUAAGCGGCCCAAGCUGGCCUGGAACUUGUGAUCCUCCUGCCUCAGCCUCCUAAAGAGCUGGGAUUACUGGCAUGUGCCACCACCCAUAGCUCCAUUCUGUCUCUUAACAGUUUUUAAAUACUAAUGGAAAAUAUCAGGAAGUAGCUAGGGGGUUACUUAAGAGAAAAAUUUAAGUUACCUUUAGUCAGUAUUAUUAUGCUUUACCACUAAAUGCCCUCAAUUAAAAGAAGUUAUAUGUUAACUGUACUAUGUUUUAUGAAAAAAGUUUUUUCCCCCAUUCAUACGGGUUGACUAAUCUGGCUAAAAUUCUGGUAAAUCUACCUAAAAUUCCCUGCAUCACAGCACCUACAGCCCUGGGCAACCAUUCCAGAAAAGAGAAAUGAUCUAGUAAGUUUAAAAUUCUUUCUCUAGUCACAAGGAAUCAAAAAUAAACAUUUUACUCUUCUUAUGUAAAGACCUGACAUCUUACACAAUAGUCCUCUGUUGAUCUGGAGGGACAGGGUUCUAUGAUAGUGUGUUCAUCAUAGUUAAUUGAGAAGGGAAAAUAAAGUAGACCAGUAUUUCUUAUUGGAACUAUUUUUUCUGUUUGUUCUGGGGGGGUUUUUUUGGUACCAGAGAUCAAACUCAGGACCUCGUGCUUGCCAGGCAGGCGCUGUGCCACUGAGCUAAAUCCCUGGCCCUGGAACUAUUUUUCUUGAAGUUCUUUUCAGAUCCUAAAUUUCUUCUAAAUCUAUAAUGACUAACCACAGAAUUGGGAACAUUACUUCAGAGGCUCACUCUCUGAUGAGAAAGAUCAGUUGUGAGUAGGGAUGUUUACCUGAGUCCUAGCCUUUUCAGCCUAACAUUAUUCCUACUGGCUAGAAAAACAGAUCAAACGUUAAGUGCCCAUCCUGGGUCAAAGGAAAAGUUAGUUCACAAAAAAAUGGAACUAUAUAAUGUAAAAUGUCAAAACACAGAUGAUGCUACAUAAGACAUUUGCUUCUUUUUCUUAGGAAGGUAUACAGAAACUUUUCUCAUUUUAUCCACAGCUCCAUGUCCAGAGUUGACGGCAGUUGUACAAAAGGGCCCAUCACAUCUUUUGAAGUGAACUACUUACAGCUCUUUUCUUCUGGCCUUCACCAUAAGGAAAACAAAGUCUCAUGUGCUAUAUAUGACUUCACAGAGGGAUGAAGAAAUUUGUAAUACAGUAGCUACUCAUCUUAGGGAAGUGAGUAGGGUUCCAUCACUGGACUCAAGAUGUGUUGUUUUAUCAUUCUUUCAACUAAGUGAAAAUAUACAUUCACAGGAUUAGCUGCUGUGCAAGCUGGUCCUUCCUUAGAAGAAUGAAAAGAAAAAUUUUUAAAUUAAAGUUCCAGGGCUGGGGAUUUAGCUCAGUGGUUCUGCCCCCUGCCUCACAAGCACAAGGUCGAGUUCAAUCCCUGGUACCAAAAAGAAAAAAAAAAAUUAAAGUUCCAAAACUUCUAAAAAAGAAGUCAACAUCUUCCUUCUCUAGGAGAAAAAAAAAUUCUAUUGUCCAAAAAUGUGGGUUUACAUGUGUAAAAAUGUGUAUCUACAGAAACUGAUGGUUUAUUCACAUAUGAAAUAAACUUUAAUAUCAUUAUGCUUCUUUAUAAUACCAAAGUUUAACUGCAAAAGUGGACUUUUUUCUCCUCCUAUAAACCUAUGUCAGGAUGAGCCAAGAUUUCCAGAUAUAUGUAACAUUUUAACAUCGCUUUCAUUUCAAAUCAGAACAAAUAUUUAGAAGUUACUUCUGUGGUCUUAAUGUGCUUCUCAUAUAGUGGACCGAAACUGGAAGACAUUUUUAAGAACCCCUGAAGUCAUCCAUACUUGCUGCUUAUGCAUUCUUCUUAUUUGGAACAAAAGUAAAAGAAUUCACAAAUAUAAUGACCUAAGCACCUGUUUAAAACUAAACAUAUAUGCCUUCAGCUUGCACAAUAAUUUCUUUAUAAUUAAGCAAACCACAGCAGAAGGCCCACAUCAGUUGGUUUUUUUUUUUCCUGGAGAAGUCACAGGAUAACUGCAUCCGAAGGACAUCUCUAUGUUGAAGCUGAGAGGUGGAACAGAAGAAUGUCAUCAUUUUCAUUCCAAAUCAUGGAGGUGAUGUGUAGAAAGAUAUCUAUAUUUCAAGACAGGGAAACAGGGAUAAUUAUAAGAACUACAGCUCUAGAAGACAACACAAAAAUACCUGGAAAUAAAAAUAAAAACAGGAAGAUUAGACCAGGUAUUUCUGCAUGAGCUUACUUUAACA